Molecule: ribosomal RNA, 450 nt
Filed under: uncultured Myxococcales bacterium
Lineage: Bacteria; Pseudomonadati; Myxococcota; Myxococcia; Myxococcales
Description: partial 16S ribosomal RNA
Source: RNAcentral
CACAGAGUUAGCCGGUGCUUGCUAAGGAGGUACCGUCAUCGAGCUGGAUAUUAGCCAACCCUUAUUCUUCCCUCCCCACAGAGCUUUACAACCCGAAGGCCUUCAUCGCUCACGCGGCGUCGCUGCGUCAGGCUUUCGCCCAUUGCGCAAGAUUCCCCACUGCUGCCUCCCGUAGGAGUCUGGACCGUGUGUCAGUUCCAGUGUGGCUGUUCAUCCUCUCAGACCAGCUACCCGUCUUUGGCUUGGUGGGCCAUUACCCCGCCAACUACCUGAUGGGCCGCAGGCUCAUCCUCCAGCGCAAGCUUACAUGUAGAGGCCUGCUUUGGCCGCAAGCUCCGAGGAGCUCGUGGUCUCAUGCUGUAUUAGCUCUCCGUUUCGGAGGUUAUCCACCUACUUGGAGGGGAGUAUUACCUACGUGUUACUCGACCGUGCCGCCACGUUUACCGGGCC